GAUGAAGAACGUAGUGAAAUGCGAUAAGUAAUGUGAAUUGCAGAAUUCAGUGAAUCAUCGAAUCUUUGAACGCACAUUGCGCCCGCCAGUAUUCUGGCGGGCAUGCCUGUUCGAGCGUCAUUACAACCCUCAGGCCCCCGGGCCUGGCGUUGGGAUCGGCGGAGCCCCCCGUGGGCACACGCCGUCCCCCAAAUGCAGUGGCGGUCCCGCCGCAGCUUCCAUCGCGUAGUAGCUAACACCUCGCGACUGGAGGGCGGCGCGGCCACGCCGUAAAACACCCAACUCUUCUGAAGUUGACCUCGAAUCAGGUAGGAAUACCCGCUGAACUUAAGCAUAUCAAUAAGCGGAGGA
RNAcentral lists this unclassified non-coding RNA (351 nucleotides) under soil metagenome. Its description in RNAcentral is "partial contains 5.8S ribosomal RNA, internal transcribed spacer 2, and large subunit ribosomal RNA". The stretch from base 1 to 120 matches the Rfam family "5.8S ribosomal RNA", at positions 35 to 154 of the family's 154-position model. The record is from RNAcentral.